CCUACGGGUUGCACCAGUGGGGAAUCUUAGACAAUGGGGGCAACCCUGAUCUAGCCAUGCCGCGUGAGUGAUGAAGGUCUUAGGGUUGUAAAGCUCUUUCAGCCGGGAAGAUAAUGACGGUACCAGCAGAAGAAGCCCCGGCUAACUCCGUGCCAGCAGCCGCGGUAAUACGGAGGGGGCUAGCGUUGUUCGGAAUUACUGGGCGUAAAGCGCACGUAGGCGGACUGGAAAGUUGGGGGUGAAAUCCCGGGGCUCAACCUCGGAACUGCCUUCAAAACUAUCAGUCUGGAGCUCGAGAGAGGUGAGUGGAAUUCCGAGUGUAGAGGUGAAAUUCGUAGAUAUUCGGAGGAACACCAGUGGCGAAGGCGGCUCACUGGCUCGAUACUGACGCUGAGGUGCGAAAGCGUGGGGAGCAAACAGGAUUAGAUACCCCUGUAGUC
RNAcentral lists this ribosomal RNA (440 nucleotides) under uncultured bacterium. RNAcentral describes it as "bacterial SSU rRNA". It matches the Rfam family "Bacterial small subunit ribosomal RNA", at positions 338 to 795 of the family's 1533-position model. The record is from RNAcentral.